Molecule: transfer RNA, 72 nt
Organism: Camelus ferus (Wild Bactrian camel)
Lineage: Eukaryota; Metazoa; Chordata; Mammalia; Artiodactyla; Camelidae
Rfam family: tRNA
About the family: Transfer RNA (tRNA) molecules are approximately 80 nucleotides in length. Their secondary structure includes four short double-helical elements and three loops (D, anti-codon, and T loops).
Source: Rfam
GAGGGUAUAGCUCAGUGGCAGAGUGUGCGCUUAGCAUGCACAAGGACCUGGGUUCAAUCCCCAGCACCUCCA